Molecule: unclassified non-coding RNA, 307 nt
Filed under: plant metagenome
Description: partial contains 5.8S ribosomal RNA, internal transcribed spacer 2, and large subunit ribosomal RNA
Rfam family: 5.8S ribosomal RNA (bases 1-105)
Source: RNAcentral
GAAAUGCGAUAAGUAAUGUGAAUUGUAGAAUUCGGUGAAUCAUCGAAUCUUUGAACGCACAUUGCGCCCGCCAGCACUCUGGCGGGCAUGCCUGUUCGAGCGUCAUUUCAACCCUCAGAACCCCUUGCGGGAUCUGGCGUUGGGGAUUGGCAUCCAGCCAGCCCCGAAAUCUAGUGGCGGUCCCUCCGCGACCUCCCCUGUGCAGUAGCGAUACCUCGCAGCGGGACAGCGGUCUGACCACGCCGUAAAACCCCCAACUUCUCAAGGUUGACCUCGAAUCAGGUAGGAAUACCCGCUGAACUUAAGC